Molecule: long non-coding RNA, 2590 nt
Filed under: Manihot esculenta (cassava)
Lineage: Eukaryota; Viridiplantae; Streptophyta; Magnoliopsida; Malpighiales; Euphorbiaceae
Description: long non-coding RNA (MESC_LNC010905)
Source: RNAcentral
UCAGCAUACAUCAACAGUUCCUCAUGAAUUGGCUAUAACUAAUCCCAUCCAAUUUUUGCCUGAAGCAAUUCUAAAACAUUGUUCUAUUAUAAAAGACAAUGCUCCCUGUGAACAGCUAUUGAUCCAAUGGAUUAGUAUACCUACUGAGGAAUCAAUUUGGAUUGAUUUAAAUUAUUUCAAAGGUCAAUUUCCUUUUUUUCAACCAUGAGGACAAGGUUGUCCCUUCAAAGGCCAACAAUGAUGGGCAGGGAGAACAAGGCCGUGAGAAAAUGCCUAAAUGGCAGGUUUAUUCUAGAAGAUUUGGCAAAGGUACAGUAGCAACAUGGGAGGAUCGCACCUAGGCAAGAACCGGCUUAUAAAUAAGAGAGAAUUGCAUGAAAUUGGCAUGACCAGCCCUGAUUAUUCUUCUGUUAUUUUUUAUCAGCAUAAAGCGUGGGGGAAAAGCCUGUUGUUGCAGUCAUAGCUGUGGGAAGGGAAUUGAUGAUUUUAUUUUUUUGUUACUGAGAUUCAUUUGUAUCAGAUCUAGUUUAUUAAUAUCAAAUUUCUGUCAAAUGCCUCCAUUUUUACUCCUCCAAUUCUUUAUUGUGAAGUUAUUUGGAUUGAUUGGCUCUAUUAAAGAAGAGCCUCAGGCACGCCCAAGGCUCCAGGUGCACGAGGCUCAGAGGUCAGCUCCUUGACACUCCCCAGGCAAGCGAUGAUUCACAGACACACUCAGGCACACCUUGCACCUAGCCUCACCUCGGCAAUCUAGACACCCUAUUCAGAGUUGGCUGGCUUUUUCCUCACUCCAAAUGCAGAUACAACAACUCCCAAUAAAGAAAAGAAAACAAAGAAGAAGAACAAGAAAGAGGAAGGAGGAGCAGCCCUGAAAAAACAGAGGAGAAAGAACGUGUACUUAACUUUGUGUGCUCCUACAGAUCAAUUACUUUUUAUUCUUCUUCUUCGUCUUCUUCUUCUACUCCUUUCUUUAUUUUUUUUUUCUUUUGGAUUCUUCUUCCCCUCCUCCUCAUGUCUUUCUUUCUUCUUUUAGGUUUUCUAAUCUCUCUUUUCUAUGUUGCUAUGCUGCCCAAUUUCACUUUGAUUGCCGACACUGGAGAUCUCAAACACUCAUGCAUGUUUUAUUUCAUAUUAAAAAUUAAGUAAUUUAUUUUUAAUGUGAUUGUUAAAUUUGGUUCAGGCCUAACUCACCCCAAAAGCUAGCUCAAGGGGGAGGAGUGCCUAUGGCCCAUAUAAGGGGCACAUUACCCCUUUCCACAACCGAUGUGGGAUUCAACACACCCCCUUACGCCUAGAAUUUUCACCGGUGCGUGGCACAUUUAUGGGGCGCCCAACAUCGGAUGCAGAGGCUCUGAUACUAUGUUAAAUUUGGGCAAGGCCUAACUCACCCAAAAGCUAGCUCAAGGAGGAAGAGUGCCCAUGACCCAUAUAAGGGGUACAUUACCCCUUUCCACAUCUGACGUGGAAUUCAACACACCCCUUCACGCCCAGAAUUUUACUGGUGUGCGUGACACAUUUAUCGGAGGCCCAACAUCGAAUGGGGAGGUUCUGAUACCAUAUUAAAUUUAGGUCAGGCCUAACUCACCCCAAAAGCUAGUUCAAGGGGGAGGAGUGCCUAUGGCCCAUAUAAGGGGCACAUUACCCCUUUCCACAACCGAUGUGGGAUUCAACACACCCCCUCACGCCUAGAAUUUUUACUGGUGCGUGGCACAUUUAUGGGGCGCCCAACAUUGGAUGGAGAGGCUCCGAUACCAUAUUAAAUUUGGGCCAGGCCUAACUCACCCAAAAGCUAGUUCAAGGAGGAAGAGUGCCCAUGACCCAUAUAAGGGGCACAUUACCCCUUUCCACAUCCGACGUGGGAUUCAACACACCCCUUCACGCCCAGAAUUUUACUGGUGUGCAUGACACAUUUAUGGGAGGCCCAACAUCGGAUGGGGAGGCUCUGAUACCAUAUUAAAUUUGGGUCAGGCCUAACUCACCCCAAAAGCUAGCUCAAGGGGGAGGAGUGCCUAUGGCCCAUAUAAGGGGCACAUUACCCCUUUCCACAACCGAUGUGGGAUUCAACAGUGAUCAAAGAUUUUAAGUAUUUUGAAUUACUUUUACAACAAUAAAAUCCUUGUUAAUGCCAUUAUAUUAUCAAAUUACAUACUAUUGUAUAAUAUUAAAUUUAUUUAAUUUCUUAUUGCCAUUAAAUUACUUAUUAUCAAAGCUCUCAAAAUCAAAGUCAAUAUAUUCAAGAACUUCCUACACUCUUUUUGGUGGUAAUAAGUUUAAUUCUAUAAUAUCUAGGUAUCUAUCAACAUACCUAGUUAUUUGAUAGUGAAUUGAUUAACGUUAAUGAUGUCUUAGAUUGAUGAAUUUAAUGUCCUUAUUUGAUUUAUACUUAUUAUUUAGUUAUUCUCUUAGUUUUAGUUUUAAUUGUAAUUAUAAUUAUAUUUUUAAAUAUCUAUUUAUUUUAUAAAAUUUUCAAGUUUUUCAACUGUGACCAUCACAUUAUUGUGUCACAGGCCUCUUUCAAUUACACACAACUUGAUACGAAUUCAUGAUAGAGAUACAAGUAUCCCAAGAAUUAAAAUGUCAAAAAAGCACAUAC